This 53-nucleotide non-coding RNA is filed under the name unclassified sequences. The record is from Rfam.
CCCUGACAGGCGCAUAAUGCGUCUGACACUAGCCACGACAGGAGUAUAACAUG